GAUGCAGCGACGCCGCGUGAGGGAUGACGGCCUUCGGGUUGUAAACCUCUUUCAGUAGGGAAGAAGCGAAAGUGACGGUACCUGCAGAAGAAGCACCGGCUAACUACGUGCCAGCAGCCGCGGUAAUACGUAGGGUGCGAGCGUUAUCCGGAAUUAUUGGGCGUAAAGAGCUCGUAGGCGGUUUGUCGCGUCUGUCGUGAAAGUCCGGGGCUUAACCCCGGAUCUGCGGUGGGUACGGGCAGACUAGAGUGCAGUAGGGGAGACUGGAAUUCCUGGUGUAGCGGUGGAAUGCGCAGAUAUCAGGAGGAACACCGAUGGCGAAGGCAGGUCUCUGGGCUGUAACUGACGCUGAGGAGCGAAAGCAUGGGGAGCGAACAGGAUUAGAUACCCUGGUAGUCCAUGCCGUAAACGUUGGGCACUAGGUGUGGGGAACAUUCCACGUUUUCCGCGCCGCAGCUAACGCAUUAAGUGCCUUUCCUGGGGAGUACGGCCGCAAGGCUAAAACUCAAAGGAAUUGACGGGG
This 523-nucleotide ribosomal RNA is filed under the name Micrococcus cohnii. Its description in RNAcentral is "bacterial SSU rRNA". It matches the Rfam family "Bacterial small subunit ribosomal RNA", at positions 385 to 918 of the family's 1533-position model. Lineage: Bacteria; Bacillati; Actinomycetota; Actinomycetes; Micrococcales; Micrococcaceae. The record is from RNAcentral.